Molecule: ribosomal RNA, 459 nt
Filed under: uncultured Phascolarctobacterium sp.
Lineage: Bacteria; Bacillati; Bacillota; Negativicutes; Acidaminococcales; Acidaminococcaceae
Description: partial 16S ribosomal RNA
Rfam family: Bacterial small subunit ribosomal RNA
Source: RNAcentral
ACGGGAGGCAGCAGUGGGGAAUCUUCCGCAAUGGGCGAAAGCCUGACGGAGCAAUGCCGCGUGAGUGAUGAAGGGAUUCGUCCCGUAAAGCUCUUUUAUACAUGACGAAUAUGCCUGGGGUGAACAAUCCCGGGUAGUGACGGUAGUGUAUGAAUAAGCCACGGCUAACUACGUGCCAGCAGCCGCGGUAAUACGUAGGUGGCGAGCGUUGUCCGGAAUUAUUGGGCGUAAAGAGCAUGUAGGCGGUCUUUUAAGUCGGGAGUGAAAAUGCGGGGCUCAACCCCGUAUGGCUUCCGAUACUGGAAGGCUUGAGUGCAGGAGAGGAAAGGGGAAUUCCCAGUGUAGCGGUGAAAUGCGUAGAUAUUGGGAGGAACACCAGUGGCGAAGGCGCCUUUCUGGACUGUGUCUGACGCUGAGAUGCGAAAGCCAGGGGAGCAAACAGGAUUAGAUACCCUGGUA